UGCAUCUGGCAGGAAAGUACAGCCCAGUCUCAAACUGAGCAAUUCCACAUUCUGCUGCACUGCUCACACACAGAGAAGUGCCCGCAACUGCAGUGUGUGUGUGUGUGUGUGCGUGUGUGUGUGUGGGCGCAUGUGUGUGUGAAAGAGAGGGAAUCUCUAAAUCACUGGACUACUGAAUUCUACACUGAAAACCUCCUGACGCACUGCUGUGUCUAGUUAUGGCAAGUGAGUUUUCAUUCAAGGGGCAUCCAGAGUUAGACGAUCCCAGACGGAUUUAUGCAUGGAUGCUGUUGGUCAGUUUUUAUGAACUAAGCAAAGAAAUUCGAGCAGUCACCCCUGCCCCCCCUCCCACCAUGGAUACAGACUCGGACCAUGGACUCAUUUGAUGAUGCAUUCAACCAAGACAAGAAAACCUGGGGCAGUGGUGGGGAAAAAAGGAAAAAUCGUCACACAAGAAAAAAGAAGAGGGAUUUGACUCGGUGUGAGUGUGCAGUCGCAGGACUGAAGUGCGAACGCUGACGCGAGGUAAAAGAAGGAUGGCACAGUUUUUUUAAGCUCCAACACUACCCGCAAUUUUUCUGCGACCAGCUUGGCUCUUUUUAGUUUGGAAACUUGUUGAUCACGGUACCAGAGAAAGAGAAAAAAUGCAACAAAUCAUGCUGAGAAAGCGCAAAAACCGCCUCAAACCUGAUUAGGUCGCCGUGGAGAUACUGCUGCUGGUGCUGCUGCCAAUCACGGGACUGUGUCAGAGGGCAACUGUUCAAAAGCAGCUUCAAACUUACCGGACAUGUAGAGAUUAUAGUGGGGCACGAUUUCUUUUGCCAGCCUCAGGCAAAACAACUUACAACAUCCUGGAUCCAUUAAGGAAGUUUCCAUGGGGGACAUGUGUGGAAAAAAGAGGCUGCGUUUUAAACUCUCAGUUCUUCCUCAAGAGUCAAAGCAGCUAGAGAGAAAAUACUGGAGCAAGGUGGGGUAGGGAUUGGGAGUGAGGGGGCGUAGCGAGGGCUUGAGCGGCAUCAACCGUUCCUUUAUGCUGUGAGUUCUGAAAAGCCACCGGAAAACCACACAGCCGCGAGCCAGGUUACCUUUUCAGCUGCUCCCGGGUCUCCGCGGUGACAGCAGGAAGGCGUUGGCGUUUGUUUGGAAGUCCAGUUUAAACACAUAUCGCAGAGUGCCCCCAAAACACACGGCACGGAGAAGGAACGCGACUGGAGUUCGGCAUCUGGAACGCAGAAGAAUGUGUAGCCGGCGCGGGAGAUCGCGGGAGAGCAAAUCGGGCGCGGCCGAACAAUGACGUCGCACAAGCGGGCACCCGGCGACAAACAAAUGCAAUAACUGAAGUAAACCACCAGCUGAACGUUCUGGAAACCCUGGCAUGAUUUGGAUAUCGGCGGCUGUGCACCACUAUGCAAAAUCAACGGCGCUCACUUUCCAAACUUAUUCUCACGGAGGUUCAUAAACAGUGCCUACUCCUAUAGGCACGCGCAUCUGUAGCCAAAGUAUGCACAUCUGUCCCAGAUGGUUUAAAGACAUACACUAUGGCGUACUUCCACAAAAAAUUGCAAUUAUAAUCCUUAGAGGUUUUUUUUAUGUGAAAGUGCUACCGUGGAGCUCAUUUAAAGCCAUAAUCAAAUCGGUGGCAUCUCAUAACCAGCCCGGCUAACACCAAAUGUUACCGGAAUGUUUUGUCAAUGUUAUAACGUUGUCAUUGCACGGCAGCAACAUUGUGAGAAUGCUUUGUGUUAGUGUCUUCUCCUCCAUCCCCUUCAGAUCCAUGUUUGAAGAAACCUGAGCACCGAUGCGAUGGGACCGCUUAAAUGCACCAGCACAGACUGUACAAUACUGACAAAUGAUGACUGCAAAAAGCCAGUGUUUGCGGGCGGAAGUCACACAACGCGCAGGUUAUGCAACAGCUCUUCGGAGAGACAUGGCAGCUCUGCCAAACACUACAAAGAAAUCAGCCUGCUGAUAACAGGGCAUUCAAGUACCAGGAAGUAGUUGUCAUUCAUACUGAAGACUGAAAGGACUCUAAUCGGCACUGUCUCCAAAACAAUAUCGGCGUUCGGCACAGGUGCGCGCACGCGCAGAAACAAUAUAUCACAGAGGAUAAUGGGAAUCCUGAGCCGGGACAGAAGUCGCUACAUAUGUUUUUCUAGUUAUGUAAAUAAAAAUAAAAACAUUUGGAAGCUGUGGCUCACUUGUGUGUUAUAUAAGUACUGCAAAUAUUCAGUGUAUUCAAGCUUUUUUAAAACGUGUAUAUAGCUAUGUUGUAUGUAAGAAAAGUUUGAUUAAUUUGACACUCUAGCCCUUGGCCCCCAUCCAACAGUUUAUUAUUUUCUUAUAUUUGAAUUGCUGUGUUUUACAUACGAACAGCGCAACAAUUCUGUAAGAAAAUACCACAUUCCCAUCAGUGCUGUGUGUCGACGCAUUAUUGCCUCAGGGUAAUUUUGUCAUGGACAUUUUUUUUCAGCUGGAAACACUUACUGUCGAACAGAAUGCUAAUAAUUACAAAAUGUAGCUUUCGAUUUCAUAUCGACCCAAGGCAGAAAUGCUGUGUGGUUCUCCGGAAUGGAUUUUUUUUUUUCGUUCGUUUUAUUGGAGCAAGGGGGUUAACGACACUUGUAGACUAUUUUCCCUAACAUUGACCGUAUCAACACAUACAUGUAGUGUGAGCUACAUAACGGUCUCGACAGAGUCGCUGCGGUACAAUGUUCCCUUAAUUAUUCCCGCGUAUUCACUCACCAGUGGACCGUUCUAGGCAGGCGGUGUCCCAACGACCAGAGCACGCGCUUCGGUGUUAUCAAAUAUAUAUGUAUAUCUCUUUUACCCAGAGGAAUGUGUUGCCCUGACAGGGAAUGACCACGUGCACUUGUUAUACUAUCCAUGGAGGAAAAACAGAGCUGCGCAUUAAAAGGAAAGAACGCACCCAAAGUAAAUUUGUUAAAUGCAAUAUAAUUUACCAGGUUUUGAAAUCUUAAGGCAUGAAUAAUUUACAUUGAUGUACAUUUCUAACAGGCCAAUAAAAUACAUUAACAGCAUGUCUGAAAAGGAUACUUUCCAUAGAUUAUAGAGCCUAGUUGCAUGAUUUUAAUGGACGAGAUUGCUUAAACAUUUAAAAUUCUAUCUAUGACAUGUCAAAAGGAUACAAUGAAGGAGGAAAAAAAUUUAAGAACUCACAAAAUAAAAUUCCGGUUUAUUGUCGUACAACAAACUUCACACAUACAUCAAACAGGCCACAAUAAACAGCAAUUUCAUGGACAAAAAAAAAAAGAAAAAAAAGAAAAAAAAAUCCUUUUCUUUGGCCUUGUCAUCUCAUACAAACCAACUACUUAUGGUACAACUAAAGUACAUACACAAAGUUACUGGAAUGCUCUGAAUGUAAUUGGCUUUGAGUUUUUUUUUUUUUUUUUCGUAAUUUUUACAAGAUUUCUGUUGAGAUAACAUGACAUGGUCAAACCACAAGUAAAGUCUAUUUUA
Anguilla rostrata (American eel) is the source of this 3477-nucleotide long non-coding RNA. RefSeq lists it as uncharacterized. The transcript has 5 exons. Lineage: Eukaryota; Metazoa; Chordata; Actinopteri; Anguilliformes; Anguillidae. The record is from RefSeq and is a predicted model, not a curated record.